RNAcentral lists this transfer RNA (66 nucleotides) under Metrocoris sp. XD-2019. RNAcentral's name for it is "tRNA-Glu". It matches the Rfam family "tRNA". From Rfam's summary of the family: Transfer RNA (tRNA) molecules are approximately 80 nucleotides in length. Their secondary structure includes four short double-helical elements and three loops (D, anti-codon, and T loops). Further hydrogen bonds mediate the characteristic L-shaped molecular structure. tRNAs have two regions of fundamental functional importance: the anti-codon, which is responsible for specific mRNA codon recognition, and the 3' end, to which the tRNAs corresponding amino acid is attached (by aminoacyl-tRNA synthetases). tRNAs cope with the degeneracy of the genetic code in two manners: having more than one tRNA (with a specific anti-codon) for a particular amino acid; and 'wobble' base-pairing, i.e. permitting non-standard base-pairing at the 3rd anti-codon position. The record is from RNAcentral. Lineage: Eukaryota; Metazoa; Arthropoda; Insecta; Hemiptera; Gerridae.
AUUUAUAUAGUUUAAUAAAAACAAUUCAUUUUCAAUGAAUAGAAAAGUAUAAAUACUUUAUAAAUA